RNAcentral lists this ribosomal RNA (1573 nucleotides) under Escherichia coli. Its description in RNAcentral is "partial 23S ribosomal RNA". It matches the Rfam family "Bacterial large subunit ribosomal RNA", at positions 1273 to 2834 of the family's 2925-position model. Lineage: Bacteria; Pseudomonadati; Pseudomonadota; Gammaproteobacteria; Enterobacterales; Enterobacteriaceae. The record is from RNAcentral.
CUGGAGGUAUCAGAAGUGCGAAUGCUGACAUAAGUAACGAUAAAGCGGGUGAAAAGCCCGCUCGCCGGAAGACCAAGGGUUCCUGUCCAACGUUAAUCGGGGCAGGGUGAGUCGACCCCUAAGGCGAGGCCGAAAGGCGUAGUCGAUGGGAAACAGGUUAAUAUUCCUGUACUUGGUGUUACUGCGAAGGGGGGACGGAGAAGGCUAUGUUGGCCGGGCGACGGUUGUCCCGGUUUAAGCGUGUAGGCUGGUUUUCCAGGCAAAUCCGGAAAAUCAAGGCUGAGGCGUGAUGACGAGGCACUACGGUGCUGAAGCAACAAAUGCCCUGCUUCCAGGAAAAGCCUCUAAGCAUCAGGUAACAUCAAAUCGUACCCCAAACCGACACAGGUGGUCAGGUAGAGAAUACCAAGGCGCUUGAGAGAACUCGGGUGAAGGAACUAGGCAAAAUGGUGCCGUAACUUCGGGAGAAGGCACGCUGAUAUGUAGGUGAAGUCCCUCGCGGAUGGAGCUGAAAUCAGUCGAAGAUACCAGCUGGCUGCAACUGUUUAUUAAAAACACAGCACUGUGCAAACACGAAAGUGGACGUAUACGGUGUGACGCCUGCCCGGUGCCGGAAGGUUAAUUGAUGGGGUUAGCCGCAAGGCGAAGCUCUUGAUCGAAGCCCCGGUAAACGGCGGCCGUAACUAUAACGGUCCUAAGGUAGCGAAAUUCCUUGUCGGGUAAGUUCCGACCUGCACGAAUGGCGUAAUGAUGGCCAGGCUGUCUCCACCCGAGACUCAGUGAAAUUGAACUCGCUGUGAAGAUGCAGUGUACCCGCGGCAAGACGGAAAGACCCCGUGAACCUUUACUAUAGCUUGACACUGAACAUUGAGCCUUGAUGUGUAGGAUAGGUGGGAGGCUUAGAAGUGUGGACGCCAGUCUGCAUGGAGCCGACCUUGAAAUACCACCCUUUAAUGUUUGAUGUUCUAACGUUGACCCGUAAUCCGGGUUGCGGACAGUGUCUGGUGGGUAGUUUGACUGGGGCGGUCUCCUCCUAAAGAGUAACGGAGGAGCACGAAGGUUGGCUAAUCCUGGUCGGACAUCAGGAGGUUAGUGCAAUGGCAUAAGCCAGCUUGACUGCGAGCGUGACGGCGCGAGCAGGUGCGAAAGCAGGUCAUAGUGAUCCGGUGGUUCUGAAUGGAAGGGCCAUCGCUCAACGGAUAAAAGGUACUCCGGGGAUAACAGGCUGAUACCGCCCAAGAGUUCAUAUCGACGGCGGUGUUUGGCACCUCGAUGUCGGCUCAUCACAUCCUGGGGCUGAAGUAGGUCCCAAGGGUAUGGCUGUUCGCCAUUUAAAGUGGUACGCGAGCUGGGUUUAGAACGUCGUGAGACAGUUCGGUCCCUAUCUGCCGUGGGCGCUGGAGAACUGAGGGGGGCUGCUCCUAGUACGAGAGGACCGGAGUGGACGCAUCACUGGUGUUCGGGUUGUCAUGCCAAUGGCACUGCCCGGUAGCUAAAUGCGGAAGAGAUAAGUGCUGAAAGCAUCUAAGCACGAAACUUGCCCCGAGAUGAGUUCUCCCUGACUCCUUGAGAG